CGCGUAGGCGGUCAUGCAAGUCAGGUGUGAAAUCCCCAGGCUUAACCUGGGAACUGCGCUUGAAACUGCAUAGCUUGAGGCCGGGAGAGGAAAGUGGAAUUCCUGGUGUAGCGGUGAAAUGCGUAGAUAUCAGGAGGAACACCGGUGGCGAAGGCGGCUUUCUGGACCGGUUCUGACGCUGAAGCGCGAAAGCGUGGGAGCAAACG
This 206-nucleotide ribosomal RNA is filed under the name uncultured bacterium. RNAcentral's name for it is "partial 16S ribosomal RNA". It matches the Rfam family "Bacterial small subunit ribosomal RNA", at positions 568 to 774 of the family's 1533-position model. The record is from RNAcentral.